Molecule: long non-coding RNA, 322 nt
Organism: Hipposideros armiger (great roundleaf bat)
Lineage: Eukaryota; Metazoa; Chordata; Mammalia; Chiroptera; Hipposideridae
Exons: 3
Source: RefSeq, a predicted model, not a curated record
CUGCUCCGGGGCCUGGCGGGCCAGCCCAGAAAGCUGGCCCCCCCCCCGGAGGACCGUCAGCAGCCCGACUCUGCAUCCAACAGGACAAGGAAAUCGGCUUUCUACCUCAUGUCCCAAUUUCUGCUGAAAAAGUUUAACAUCAUGUAUCUUAGAAUAUAAGCACGGGUACUUGCAGCAAACCAAUACGCAGGCCCUAAAGGAGACAAUACAUUUGGGGACUAAGAGGUGCGCUGGCACUCAGGGAAGCGGAGGACGCCCGAUUCCUGGAGGAGACAGAGUGACUGCUGUUGGGGAAUACAACUCUCACUUAACGAGUGGGGCA